GUGCUCGCCUCGGCAGCACAUUUACUAUAAUUGGAACGAUACAUAGAAGAUUAACAUGGCCCCUGCACAAGGACGACAUGCACAUUCAUGAAACGUUCCAUAUUUUU
RNAcentral lists this small nuclear RNA (107 nucleotides) under Salvator merianae (Argentine black and white tegu). Lineage: Eukaryota; Metazoa; Chordata; Lepidosauria; Squamata; Teiidae. The record is from RNAcentral.